CCUACGGGAGGCAGCAGUAGGGAAUAUUGCUCAAUGGGGGAAACCCUGAAGCAGCAACGCCGCGUGGAGGAUGAAGGUUUUCGGAUUGUAAACUCCUUUUGUUAGAGAAGAUAAUGACGGUAUCUAACGAAUAAGCACCGGCUAACUCCGUGCCAGCAGCCGCGGGAAUACGGAGGGUGCAAGCGUUAAUCGGAAUCACUGGGCGUAAAGGGGGCGUAGGCGGGAUAGCAAGUCAGAUGGGAAAUUCUAGGGCUUAACCAUAGAACUGCAUUUGAAACUGUUAUUCUAGAGUAUGGGAGAGGUAGGUGGAAUUCGUGGUGUAGGGGUGAAAUCCGUAGAGAUCAAGAGGAAUACUCAUUGCGAAGGCGGCCUGCUGGAACAUAACUGACGCUGAUGCGCGAAAGCGUGGGGAGCAAACAGGAUUAGAUACCCCAGUAGUC
RNAcentral lists this ribosomal RNA (440 nucleotides) under uncultured bacterium. RNAcentral's name for it is "partial 16S ribosomal RNA". It matches the Rfam family "Bacterial small subunit ribosomal RNA", at positions 338 to 795 of the family's 1533-position model. The record is from RNAcentral.